GACGAACGCUGGCGGCGUGCUUAACACAUGCAAGUCGAACGGAAAGGCCCUGCUUGCAGGGUGCUCGAGUGGCGAACGGGUGAGUAACACGUGGGUGAUCUGCCCCUUAUUUUGGGAUAAGCCUGGGAAACUGGGUCUAAUACUGGAUAGGACCAUGCUGUAGGUGGUGUGGUGGAUAGAUUAGUUUCGGUAAGGGAUGAGCUCGCGGCCUAUCAGCUUGUUGGUGGGGUAAUGGCCUACCAAGGCGUCGACGGGUAGCCGGCCUGAGAGGGUGGACGGCCACAUUGGGACUGAGAUACGGCCCAGACUCCUACGGGAGGCAGCAGUGGGGAAUAUUGCACAAUGGGCGCAAGCCUGAUGCAGCGACGCCGCGUGGGGGAUGACGGCCUUCGGGUUGUAAACUCCUUUCAGCCAUGACGAAGCCCUUGUGGUGACGGUAGUGGUAGAAGAAGCACCGGCUAACUACGUG
RNAcentral lists this ribosomal RNA (469 nucleotides) under uncultured bacterium. RNAcentral's name for it is "partial 16S ribosomal RNA". It matches the Rfam family "Bacterial small subunit ribosomal RNA", at positions 28 to 507 of the family's 1533-position model. The record is from RNAcentral.